GAUGAACGCUGGCGGCGUGCCUAAUACAUGCAAGUCGAGCGAACGGACGAGAAGCUUUCUUCUCUGAUGUUAGCGGCGGACGGGUGAGUAACACGUGGAUAACCUACCUAUAAGACUGGGAUAACUUCGGGAAACCGUAGCUAAUACCGGAUAAUAUUUUGAACCGCAUGGUUCAAAAGUUAAAGACGGUCUUGCUGUCACUUAUAGAUGGAUCCGCGCUGCAUUAGCUAGUUGGUAAGGUAACGGCUUACCAAGGCAACGAUGCAUAGCCGACCUGAGAGGGUGAUCGGACACACUGGAACUGAGACAGGGUCGAGACACCUAAGGGAGGCAGCAGUAGGGAAUCUUACGCAAUGGACGAAAGCCUGACGGAGCAAAGCCGCGUGAGUGAUGAAGGUCUACGGAUCGUAAAACGAUGUUAUAAGGGAAGAAGAUAUGUGUAAGUAACAGUGCAAAUCUUGACGGUACCUAAGCAAAAAGCCACGGCUAACUACGUG
Molecule: ribosomal RNA, 497 nt
Filed under: uncultured bacterium
Lineage: Bacteria
Description: partial 16S ribosomal RNA
Rfam family: Bacterial small subunit ribosomal RNA
Source: RNAcentral